This 450-nucleotide ribosomal RNA is filed under the name uncultured bacterium. RNAcentral describes it as "partial 16S ribosomal RNA". It matches the Rfam family "Bacterial small subunit ribosomal RNA", at positions 354 to 796 of the family's 1533-position model. The record is from RNAcentral.
GUGGGGAAUUUUGGACAAUGGGCGCAAGCCUGAUCCAGCAAUGCCGCGUGCAGGAAGAAGGCCUUCGGGUUGUAAACUGCUUUUGUACGGAACGAAACGGUCCGGGUUAAUACCCUGGGCUAAUGACGGUACCGUAAGAAUAAGCACCGGCUAACUACGUGCCAGCAGCCGCGGUAAUACGUAGGGUGCAAGCGUUAAUCGGAAUUACUGGGCGUAAAGCGUGCGCAGGCGGUUUUGUAAGACAGGCGUGAAAUCCCCGGGCUCAACCUGGGAAUGGCGCUUGUGACUGCAAAGCUGGAGUGCGGCAGAGGGGGAUGGAAUUCCGCGUGUAGCAGUGAAAUGCGUAGAUAUGCGGAGGAACACCGAUGGCGAAGGCAAUCCCCUGGGCCUGCACUGACGCUCAUGCACGAAAGCGUGGGGAGCAAACAGGAUUAGAUACCCCUGUAGUCC